RNAcentral lists this ribosomal RNA (541 nucleotides) under uncultured bacterium. RNAcentral describes it as "bacterial SSU rRNA". It matches the Rfam family "Bacterial small subunit ribosomal RNA", at positions 356 to 896 of the family's 1533-position model. The record is from RNAcentral.
GAGGAAUAUUGGUCAAUGGGCGGGAGCCUGAACCAGCCAAGUAGCGUGCGGGAUGAAGGCCCUUGUGGUCGUAAACCGCUUUUAUCAGUGAAUAAAGUGCAUCACGUGUGGUGUCAUUGCAGGUAGCUGAAGAAAAAGGACCGGCUAAUUCCGUGCCAGCAGCCGCGGUAAUACGGAAGGUCCGGGCGUUAUCCGGAAUUAUUGGGUUUAAAGGGAGCGCAGGCGGGAGUAUAAGUCAGCUGUUAAAUAUCAGAGCCCAACUCUGUUAUGCAGUUGAAACUAUAUUUCUUGAGUACGCACAGGGAUGGCGGAAUUCAGGGUGUAGCGGUGAAAUGCUUAGAUAUCCUGAAGAACUCCGAUCACGAAGGCAGCCAUCCGGAGCGUAACUGACGCUGAGGCUCGAAGGUGCGGGUAUCGAACAGGAUUAGAUACCCUGGUAGUCCGCACGGUAAACGAUGAAUACUCGCAGUUCGGCCUUUAUGGUCGAGUUGUCCAGCGAAAGCGUUAAGUAUUCCACCUGGGGAGUACGCCGGCAACGGUG